UACGUAGGGUGCGAGCGUUAAUCGGAAUUACUGGGCGUAAAGCGUGCGCAGGCGGUUCGUUAUGUCCGAUGUGAAAGCCCCGAGCUUAACUUGGGAAUGGCAUUGGAAACUGGCGGGCUGGAGUGCGGCAGAGGGGGAUGGAAUUCCGCGUGUAGCAGUGAAAUGCGUAGAUAUGCGGAGGAACACCGAUGGCGAAGGCAAUCCCCUGGGCCUGCACUGACGCUCAUGCACGAAAGCGUGGGGAGCAAACAGG
This 253-nucleotide ribosomal RNA is filed under the name uncultured bacterium. Its description in RNAcentral is "partial 16S ribosomal RNA". It matches the Rfam family "Bacterial small subunit ribosomal RNA", at positions 524 to 776 of the family's 1533-position model. The record is from RNAcentral.